RNAcentral lists this long non-coding RNA (293 nucleotides) under Zonotrichia albicollis (white-throated sparrow). RNAcentral's name for it is "lncRNA (ENSZALG00000004160.1)". Lineage: Eukaryota; Metazoa; Chordata; Aves; Passeriformes; Passerellidae. The record is from RNAcentral.
AUUGUAUUAUUAAUGCUACUUGUCAGUCUUUGGUUCUUCAAACUGACAUAUUUUUCUUUGAUUACAGUUUAAGUCAUAGCAAAACCAAGACAGGAGUUUAUGUUAAGGAGGAAGUGAGGUUGAGUUUUGCUGUAGAUGUUGUACUUCCAGAUUCUGAAGACUGCCUAAAUAAAGUUCCCUUAGAAAUGAAGUCUCAUUUAGCUUCAGGAGGUGAUGCCAGAGUAAACUCUCCAAGAGGUAAGCAAGCAAGCCAAACUAAACUUGGGGAAUUUUAGCUCCUCCUGUACUGCAUG